This 239-nucleotide ribosomal RNA is filed under the name uncultured bacterium. Its description in RNAcentral is "partial 16S ribosomal RNA". It matches the Rfam family "Bacterial small subunit ribosomal RNA", at positions 29 to 295 of the family's 1533-position model. The record is from RNAcentral.
AACGAACGCUGGCGGCAGGCCUAACACAUGCAAGUCGAGCAGACCCUUCGGGGUUAGCGGCGGACGGGUGAGUAACGCGUGGGAAUAUGCCCUUCUCUACGGAAUAGUCUCGGGAAACUGGGGGUAAUACCGUAUACGCCCUUUGGGGGAAAGAUUUAUCGGAGAAGGAUUGGCCCGCGUUGGAUUAGGUAGUUGGUGGGGUAAUGGCCUACCAAGCCGACGAUCCAUAGCUGGUUUGA